UUGUUAUUAAACUUUCUCAGUAUUCCAUUAAAACAGUCAACACUUUUAUCCAAAGCGACUUACGAUAAGUGCAUUCAACUAUAAGGUUACGAACACAGAACAGCGUGAAUCAUGUGUGUAAAUGUACUAAACACCACAAAAAAUAAACCUGGCCUCAGUCAAAUACUUAUCCCAUAUGAAUUAACCGCUGCUCACGUCACCCGCUCGCGUCAUCAGCUGAUGGACUCGUCCAAUCAGAGCCUCGUAAACGCCGUGCAGCAGCGUCGAGUGUCCCGCAGACAGGAAGCGGGUCGUGUUUAGCUUGUCCCGUACGAGUGACUCUGUCUUCGGGGUAAAUAACUUGCUGAAGUCGACACGACGCUGUUCCCUGGAGGAGAAGAUGAGUGCGUGUGGACGAGUCGAGGCGGAGAAGACGGGCGCACAGUCCCUGAGUUACGCCUCAGCCCCCCCCCCACACACACACGCACACACACACACAAACAAAGAGGCGUUAGGCUGAGACGCUGAAAGUCCGGAUUUAAAGUGCAGAAAAGGAAGCCAUUGAAUCUGCCUGUCCAUGACGUACAAAGACACACUAUGAGCCAGUAUGAUCCGACCAGACCUUACAUCAGCAUUGAGGAGUUGUCGGAGAAGAAAGAGGCUGAUUGAAGCGGGACAGAUGACAUGGAUCCAUCCUUCCACAGCCAGGAGUGCACCGACCUGUGUCCCACACUUCAUAUAAGACUGGAAGCUACACUGAUCUCACAGCUACACACCACAGACGUCUACACACUGGAGAAGAGUCCCACAAAGAAGUCAUGACCCAGAGGCUGCAGAGAAACAUUUCAAGCCUCAUCUGAGUUUUUGUACAAUAUUUUUGCUGUAUGUAAAUAAAGCUUUCACUCCACA
Molecule: long non-coding RNA, 888 nt
Organism: Limanda limanda (common dab)
Lineage: Eukaryota; Metazoa; Chordata; Actinopteri; Pleuronectiformes; Pleuronectidae
Exons: 4
Source: RefSeq, a predicted model, not a curated record